This 465-nucleotide ribosomal RNA is filed under the name uncultured bacterium. RNAcentral's name for it is "bacterial SSU rRNA". It matches the Rfam family "Bacterial small subunit ribosomal RNA", at positions 330 to 793 of the family's 1533-position model. The record is from RNAcentral.
UCCAGACUCCUACGGGAGGCAGCAGUGAGGAAUAUUGGUCAAUGGUCGGGAGACUGAACCAGCCAAGCCGCGUGAGGGAUGAAGGUACAGAGUAUCGUAAACCUCUUUUGUCAGGGAACAAAGGCGGGGACGUGUCCCCGGAUGAGUGUACCUGAAGAAAAAGCAUCGGCUAACUCCGUGCCAGCAGCCGCGGUAAUACGGAGGAUGCGAGCGUUAUCCGGAUUUAUUGGGUUUAAAGGGUGCGCAGGCGGUAUUGUAAGGCAGGGUACACACCCGGGGGCCCACCCCGGGCCCGCCGUUGAAACUGGCAGUCUCGAGUUGGAGAGAAGUAUGCGGAAUGCGCGGUGUAGCGGUGAAAUGCAUAGGUAUCGCGCAGAACUCCGAUUGCGAAGGCAGCAUGCCGGCUCCACACUGACGCUGAGGCACGAAAGCGUGGGUAUCGAACAGGAUUAGAUACCCCAGUAC